Molecule: long non-coding RNA, 1399 nt
Organism: Numida meleagris (helmeted guineafowl)
Lineage: Eukaryota; Metazoa; Chordata; Aves; Galliformes; Numididae
Exons: 2
Source: RefSeq, a predicted model, not a curated record
GAAAACGGUAGAUGUGGCACUGAGGAACAUAGUCUCAAUUGGUCACAGGCAUGGGUUGAUGGUUGGUCUAGAUGAUCUUAGUGGUCCUUCCAACCUUAAUGAUUCUAUCACAGAAGUGCUAUUCACUGCAGUGGAGGGAUACCGAGUCAAAGUGGCCAUGCUCAGCACUAUAGGACAGGAUGAGAUGCACCCAUGGGGCACGAAGGAAAGUGGCUAAUGCCCUUGUGAGGCCACUAUCACCAUCCUAGACAGGUGGUAGUAGUCAGGUGAUGCUGCAGAUUACAGAAAAGGACAAUAUCAUGUUCAAAAAGAAAGAGGAGAAGGCAGGGAACUAUCAACUGAUCGGUCUAGGCUCAGUUCCUGGGAAGAUCACAGAGCAAACACCAUAGAAGAUGUUUUUCUAGGGAGAUGAAGGUGGCUGGGAACAGCCAGUGUGGAUGUGGGAAGAGAAAUCAUUGCUCAUCAAGCCUCAGUUGCAUUCUGUGAUCACAGAAUCACAAAACUGUAGCAGUCAGAAGGGACUUCUAGAGAGCAGCAAGUCCAACGCCCCUACUAAAACAAGUUCCCUACAGUAAGUUGCACAGGAAAGCGUCCAGGCAGGUCUUGAAGUAAUAGUUCCAGUAGAUGAGAGUAGUGUAGAUACCUUCACUUGCAACAUGGUCUUCCAUAGUAUUUUUGGAUUGGAGGAAUGGGUGGAUAGAAACCUCAGGAAGUUUAGUAGACUCUGAAUCCCACGCACCCCUGGGAGGGAAUGACCCUAUGCCGGUGCAUAGACUGCAGCUCUGCAGGACGGAGCUGGGGCCUGGAGGGCACAGAGCUGAACGCGGGGCAGCAGCGCAGCCUGCUGGCACCGAAGCCCAAUCGCAGACCGGGCUGUGCUGGCAGGGAUGGAAGCUCUUUGUUUCUUCCAGUUGGUGUUUAUGACACUCCUUCUGGAGUCCUGGGCCUGGUUCUGGGCUCCCCAGAACAGGAGAACUGCUGCUGUGGGAGAGCUCUUGAGCCCUCCCACACUACCUUGUGGGUGUCAUAGGGAACACCCAGCCUCUCAGAGGUACACAACAAAAGAAAUAACGAACCUCAGUCUAGAAAGCCUAAAACGCUUGAGGUCUGAAUGUGAUAGUAUCACACAGAAGGUAGGCAUGUAUAUGUAUGUAAAUAUACUUUGAAGUAUGUGCUACUAGGAGGACCUGCACUGUUGUUUACUAUAGCUCAUCUGACAAAGAACGGGGUAAUCUGUUGUGUUUCGAUUGCUACUAAUUAGGCAUCCAUGCUCUGAUUCAUUUGGUGCUAUUUCUGUUCCUUGUAUCUUAUAAAAAAAAAAAUCCUAAAUCCAAUCAUUGUGUUAUGUAACCUAAUUUUCAGUAAUGAACAGCUGCCAAAAAGACAAUUUCACCUGAAU